This 607-nucleotide ribosomal RNA is filed under the name Staphylococcus aureus. RNAcentral describes it as "bacterial LSU rRNA". It matches the Rfam family "Bacterial large subunit ribosomal RNA", at positions 115 to 720 of the family's 2925-position model. Lineage: Bacteria; Bacillati; Bacillota; Bacilli; Caryophanales; Staphylococcaceae. The record is from RNAcentral.
CGAAUGGGGAAACCCAGCAUGAGUUAUGUCAUGUUAUCGAUAUGUGAAUACAUAGCAUAUCAGAAGGCACACCCGGAGAACUGAAACAUCUUAGUACCCGGAGGAAGAGAAAGAAAAUUCGAUUCCCUUAGUAGCGGCGAGCGAAACGGGAAGAGCCCAAACCAACAAGCUUGCUUGUUGGGGUUGUAGGACACUCUAUACGGAGUUACAAAGGACGACAUUAGACGAAUCAUCUGGAAAGAUGAAUCAAAGAAGGUAAUAAUCCUGUAGUCGAAAUGUUGUCUCUCUUGAGUGGAUCCUGAGUACGACGGAGCACGUGAAAUUCCGUCGGAAUCUGGGAGGACCAUCUCCUAAGGCUAAAUACUCUCUAGUGACCGAUAGUGAACCAGUACCGUGAGGGAAAGGUGAAAAGCACCCCGGAAGGGGAGUGAAAUAGAACCUGAAACCGUGUGCUUACAAGUAGUCAGAGCCCGUUAAUGGGUGAUGGCGUGCCUUUUGUAGAAUGAACCGGCGAGUUACGAUUUGAUGCAAGGUUAAGCAGUAAAUGUGGAGCCGUAGCGAAAGCGAGUCUGAAUAGGGCGUUUAGUAUUUGGUCGUAGACCCGAAA